AACGCACCUUGCACCCUUUGGCAUUCCGAAGGGUAUGCUCGUUUGAGUGUCACUGUACUCUCACACUUCCAUGCUUUGCUUGGGAGCGGUGGACUUGGGUGUUGCUGCUUGCUGCGGCUCACCUUAAAUGCAUUAGUGCAACUCCUGGUUGGACAUAGUACGGCGUGAUAAGUGUCUUCGCCGGCACCUCACUAGAGGGUGGCUGAUCGGGAGCUCUGUGCUUCCAACCGUCCUCGGACAACUCUGACAACUUGACCUCAAAUCGAGUAGGACUACCCGCUGAACUUAA
Molecule: unclassified non-coding RNA, 289 nt
Filed under: uncultured Sebacinales
Lineage: Eukaryota; Fungi; Basidiomycota; Agaricomycetes; Sebacinales
Description: sequence contains 5.8S rRNA gene, ITS2, 28S rRNA gene
Source: RNAcentral